GACGAACGCUGGCGGCGUGCCUAACACACGCAAGUCGAGCGGGGACACAAGGGAGCUUGCUUCCGAGUGUUCUAGCGGCGGACGGGUGAGUAACGCGUGAGCAACCUUUCUCUCAGUGGGGAAUAACACAGGGAAACUUGUACUAAUACCGCAUGAGACCACAGCAUCGCAUGGUACAGGGGUCAAAGAUUAAUCGCUGAGAGGUGGGCUCGCGUCUGAUUAGAUAGUUGGUGGGGUAACGGCCUACCAAGUCGACGAUCAGUAGCCGACCUGAGAGGGUGAUCGGCCACAUUGGGACUGAGACACGGCCCAA
Molecule: ribosomal RNA, 313 nt
Filed under: uncultured bacterium
Lineage: Bacteria
Description: bacterial SSU rRNA
Rfam family: Bacterial small subunit ribosomal RNA
Source: RNAcentral